GGUCAAGUUUAGUAAGGGCGUAUGGGGGAUGUCUUGGCGUUAGAAGGCGAUGAAGAGCGUGGAAGUCUGCGAAAAGUCUGGGGGAGCUGACAAACAAGUGACGAUCCCGGAAUACUCGAAUUAACGAAAACUGAAUUCAUAGGUUUUCGUGGCAAACCCGGUGAACUGAAACAUCUAAGUAACCGGCGGAAUAGAAAGAAAAAUCGAUUCCCUUAGUAGCGGCGAGCGAAGGGGGAACAGCCCAAACCAUGAAGGUUUCCUUCGUGGGGUUGUAGGGUCUUUCAUUGGAGUUACCAAGUGAUUCGUUAACAGAACGGUAUGGAAAGGCCGGCCACAGAGGGUGAAAGCCCCGUAAGUGAAAACGAGAUCACCUCUAGAAGGAUACCUGAGUAGGUCGAGGCACGUGAAACCUCGACUGAAUCUACGGGGACCAUCCCGUAAGGCUAAAUACUCUCUAACGACCGAUAGUGAAUUAAGUAGCGCGAGCGAAAGAUGGGAAGAACCCCGGCUAGGGGAGGACACUGAACCUGAAACCGUACGCUUACAAGCGGUCGGAGCACUAUUUAAAGUGUGACGGCGUGCCUUUUGCAUAAUGAUCCGGCGAGUUACCGUUUGCGGCGGGUUAAGGCCUUAAGGGCUGGAGCCAAAGGGAAACCGAGUCUGAAUAGGGCGUAAUGUCGUGGGCGGUAGACGCGAAACUGUGUGAUCUACCCAUGGGCAGGUUGAAGCGCGGGUUAAACUGCGUGGAGGACCGAACUCACUUGGGUUGAAAACC
This 775-nucleotide ribosomal RNA is filed under the name Planctomycetota bacterium. Its description in RNAcentral is "Planctomycetes bacterium (activated sludge metagenome) partial 23S ribosomal RNA". It matches the Rfam family "Bacterial large subunit ribosomal RNA", at positions 1 to 797 of the family's 2925-position model. The record is from RNAcentral. Lineage: Bacteria; Pseudomonadati; Planctomycetota.